This 429-nucleotide ribosomal RNA is filed under the name Chloroflexota bacterium. RNAcentral's name for it is "Chloroflexi bacterium partial 16S ribosomal RNA". It matches the Rfam family "Bacterial small subunit ribosomal RNA", at positions 355 to 776 of the family's 1533-position model. The record is from RNAcentral. Lineage: Bacteria; Bacillati; Chloroflexota.
UGGGGAAUAUUGCACAAUGGGCGCAAGCCUGAUGCAGCCAUGCCGCGUGUAUGAAGAAGGCCUUCGGGUUGUAAAGUACUUUCAGUCGGGAGGAAGGUGGUAAGGUUAAUAACCUUGGCAAUUGACGUUACCCGCAGAAGAAGCACCGGCUAACUCCGUGCCAGCAGCCGCGGUAAUACGGAGGGUGCAAGCGUUAAUCGGAAUUACUGGGCGUAAAGCGCACGCAGGCGGUCUGUCAAGUCGGAUGUGAAAUCCCCGGGCUCAACCUGGGAACUGCAUUCGAAACUGGCAGGCUAGAGUCUUGUAGAGGGGGGCAGAAUUCCAGGUGUAGCGGUGAAAUGCGUAGAGAUCUGGAGGAAUACCGGUGGCGAAGGCGGCCCCCUGGACAAAGACUGACGCUCAGGUGCGAAAGCGUGGGGAGCAAACAGG